Molecule: unclassified non-coding RNA, 520 nt
Filed under: uncultured Glomus
Lineage: Eukaryota; Fungi; Glomeromycota; Glomeromycetes; Glomerales; Glomeraceae
Description: SSU rRNA
Rfam family: Eukaryotic small subunit ribosomal RNA
Source: RNAcentral
AGCAGCCGCGGUAAUUCCAGCUCCAGUAGCGUAUAUUAAAGUUGUUGCAGUUAAAAGCUCGUAGUUGAAUUUCGGGGUUAGCAGGUCGGUCGUGCCAUCGGUAUGAACUGGUCUCGCUGAUCCCUCCCUCUUGACGAACUGUGAUGCCAUUAAUUUGGUGUCGCAGGGAAUCAGGACUGUUACUUUGAAAAAAUUAGAGUGUUUAAAGCAGGCUCACGCUUGAAUACAUUAGCAUGGAAUAAUGAAAUAGGACGUUUGAUCCUAUUUUGUUGGUUUCUAGGAUUGACGUAAUGAUUAAUAGGGAUAGUUGGGGGCAUUAGUAUUCAAUUGUCAGAGGUGAAAUUCUUGGAUUUAUUGAAGACUAACUACUGCGAAAGCAUUUGCCAAGGAUGUUUUCAUUAAUCAAGAACGAAAGUUAGGGGAUCGAAGACGAUCAGAUACCGUCGUAGUCUUAACCAUAAACUAUGCCGACUAGGGAUCGGAUGAUGUUAAUUUUUUAAUGACUCAUUCGGCGCCUUAC